GAGAGAGAGAGAGUGUGUGUAUGAGAGAGAGGGGGUCCGCAUCACGAGGUUGGGUCAUCUAAAGAGUCCACCAUCAUUUUUAGCUUCCACAUUAAAAACCGAGAGUGGAGCAAUGUUUCCAAAGUUAAUUUUUUUUUCUAUAUUUUACAUAUUGAAGGAAUAGUCAUGAGUUUCAAAAUUAACUGCAACAUAGUGUGCAACUAGGGGAGGCCAAUCCAAUCUCAAAUUAAAUGACUCAACUCAAUUAA
RNAcentral lists this long non-coding RNA (248 nucleotides) under Phoenix dactylifera (date palm). RNAcentral's name for it is "long non-coding RNA (PDAC_LNC000102)". Lineage: Eukaryota; Viridiplantae; Streptophyta; Magnoliopsida; Arecales; Arecaceae. The record is from RNAcentral.